RNAcentral lists this unclassified non-coding RNA (460 nucleotides) under Hevea brasiliensis (rubber tree). The record is from RNAcentral. Lineage: Eukaryota; Viridiplantae; Streptophyta; Magnoliopsida; Malpighiales; Euphorbiaceae.
AAUCAUAGCUGCAAAAUAGCCAAAUAUCAAGUAAGUAACAAAGCAAAUAGGGCUUAGCUGCAUUAAAUGAACUUCAAAAUCCUGACAAAUUAUUUCCACUAAAUCUUGACAUGCUAAUUCUUCAUUUAUUUUCUGCACAUAUAAAAACCUUUCAGGUACUUAAUUAGCACGAUUUGAGGAUGCCCCUCAUGGCAUGCACACAACACAAAAGUGUAAAAAAUUAAGAAAAUAAAGUAAAUUCUUAAACCUUCAAUACUUGAAAAAACCCAUAUAUUAAUAUGCAUUAGCAGAUAGUGACAAAUGAUGUCGACAGAUUACAGGAGGUCAGCAGGAAAUAUCUAUCCCAUGAUAAAAUUUAAAUAAGAAACCAAAUUUAUCAAAUUUCUUUUCCCUUGUGGUCUAUUCAGAAUUGUUGGUAAGGUCAUAAUAAAGAAUAAGAAAAAACAAGAAAUGAUUAUAA